RNAcentral lists this non-coding RNA (45 nucleotides) under Schistosoma mattheei. The record is from RNAcentral. Lineage: Eukaryota; Metazoa; Platyhelminthes; Trematoda; Strigeidida; Schistosomatidae.
AUCCAGCUGACGAAUCUCCAAUAAGACGAUACACAUGUCCUGAAU